UCACAUCAUUGCUCGAAGACUGGAAAAACUGCAAGUUAGCUCAGUUGGUUUAAAACGGCAUAUGUGAGUGACGCGAACUAGCAUUUUGAAUUGAGAAAGCCGGUAGCCGGGGUGUUCGCCCUUGGUCUACGCGGAUCAGGGGCCCAGCUAACGCGUGAAACACUCCGCCUGGGGAGUACGGUCGCAAGACCGAAACUCAAAGGAAUUGACGGGGGCCUGCAAUACUGGACAUUUGGUGAAGGCCGGAUGGGGAUAGCGCUCACCUGAUAC
RNAcentral lists this non-coding RNA (270 nucleotides) under Oryza sativa Japonica Group (Japanese rice). RNAcentral describes it as "Bacterial small subunit ribosomal RNA". It matches the Rfam family "Bacterial small subunit ribosomal RNA", at positions 741 to 981 of the family's 1533-position model. Lineage: Eukaryota; Viridiplantae; Streptophyta; Magnoliopsida; Poales; Poaceae. The record is from Rfam by way of RNAcentral.